Molecule: long non-coding RNA, 1346 nt
Filed under: Mus musculus (house mouse)
Lineage: Eukaryota; Metazoa; Chordata; Mammalia; Rodentia; Muridae
Description: Dxz4 macrosatellite
Source: RNAcentral
GAGCACUCAGUAAGAAAGGAUAGCUUUUCUCCCUUUUCUGCUUCGCUCCCAACUAAGAAUGCAGAGUCAGGGAGAUGGCGCAGAGACAAUGCUGCUGUCCAUUGAAGCCCUCCAAAGGUCGGAGAUUCGAUCACAGGACAGCCUGGCCUGGACCAAGUCAGGUUGAUAUGGCUAGGCGGCCUGCUGGCGAGAUAGUGGGAGUGGGCGGUCCGCCCCUCAGGACCUCUGACUUGGACAGAUGACUGGAUGACUCUCUGGGGCAGCAUUCACCGGAACUCAUAUGGAGGGGACUGCCUGAGAAACCAACCUGUGUGCCUGGGUCAGGUUGAUAUGGCUAGGCGGCCUGCUGGCGAGAUAGUGGGAGUGGGCGGCCCGCCCCUCAGGACCUCUGACCUGGACAGAUGACUGGAUGACUCUCUGGGGCAGCAUUCACCGGAACUCAUAUGGAGAGGACUGCCUGAGAAACCAACCUGUGUGCCUGGGUCAGGUUGAUAUGGCUAGGCGGCCUGCUGGCGAGAUAGUGGGAGUGGGCGGUCCGCCCCUCAGGACCUCUGAUUUGGACAGAUGACUGGAUGACUCUCUGGGGCAGCAUUCACCGGAACUCAUAUGGAGGGGACUGCCUGAGAAACCAACCUGUGUGCCUGGCCCACCACCUACCAGAGGUAUUGGAAAAGAACGGAUACGGAGGAAGUGGACCCAUUUAGAGUUUUCAGGUUUGAAAAAAGGAUGGAAAAGAACUCAAAUUCAGAGAAUCCCAUUUCUUCAGAUGCUUCUGUCAGGACUCCAUGUCAAUCUCAACUCCUUCAUUCUUGUCCUCAAGUGUUUCUGUCAGGCUGUUUGCACUCACAUCUUCAAGAGCUGCCAGAUCAAGAGAGGGCAGAGGGUUCCUCCAAUACUGGAAUGUAUUAUACUGCCAAAACUCUUCAGGCUGCUGGCUGUGCACCCGGUCGGCUACCUGCGGGCUUCCCGCGUUUUCUACUCUGUCGCCGCCGCCCGCAGCCCGGGGUUCCUCCUGCUCGCCAGGAGGCGGCUCUCCGGGCUCCCGGCUACAGCCCUGCAGCUCCUGUCUGUCGUCCCCGCCAUGAUCCCCGCGUCCCCCUGGCGCUUGAGGGGCCGAGCCGUCCCAGACGGCGGGACCCAGAGCGGCGGCUCCUCGGGGAAGUCGCUGAGCAGGAGCCGCUUCCAAGGCACGCGGAACGUGAGCGGCUCAGCCGCACGCCGCUUGGCCAUGGGCCAGGGACGAGGGUCGCACGGGUGUCGGCCGAGGGCGGAGGGCGAAGGGCAGCCAAGACAUCUUAUGCCAUCACAUUCUCUAAUGACUGAUUAAAAAUAUAAAUCAUUUGCAU